UUAUUUAUGUUUAUUAAUUUAUUUAUUUUUAAAUAAUAAUAAUAAAAAAAUCUUAAUUUAAGCUUUCUUUUGAGUAUGGUAAAGCAGAAAUGAUCUGCCAGUGAUAAGCCAUAAUGCAGAGUAGGUUCUCUGGGUCAUUCAGUGUGUAAAAAAUAAGGCAGUGCUCAAUUUCCUUUGCAGAUGAAUGCAGAGAUAAUAGAAAGGAUAAUUACAAGAAACAGCGACUCAAAGAGGGAGAAUAUAUUCUCUUAAAUACACCAAAAUAACAAAAGGACAAUAAAAACCCCCAAACAAUGAAACAACAAAUGUCAAAUAAAAAAUAAAUAGGAUCCUAGAGUAUAUAUUCUUGUAUUUCAAAUUAUUUAUUCCUUCUCUGCAGGAAGCAGGGAAAGAUAAUAAAAUACACAAAAUGCAUUGGCUUACAAGAGUUUGCGCUGUGGAUGUAGAAGGUGGAAACUGCUUCCCAAUCAAUUUUUUAACACUGUGUUUUUGCCUGCACUAACAGAACUCAAACCAGAAAACAACACUAUUAUUAAUUUAUUCCCUUGUCAUUAUUACCACUGCAUAACUUGAAGUAACUCACUGCAUAUGCUAAAAAUUCUACUUAGUAUAGAAGGAAUGGAUUAUAUUAUUUUGCUUAAUUUUCCUGCAUAAACAAGUAACCAAAAUUUAUAUGAAGCCAGUCUGAGCAUUUACAUUCUGACAUAUAUCUAAAUUUUACUUUCAUUAAAAAAAGAUAAAAAUAACAGUAAGAAAAAAAAUUCAGUGCAGUGAGCUGUGAAUUUUCAUCAUCAUUGCUAUUACUACUACUACUUCUACUACUACUACUGCUAUUACUACUACUACUAUUUUUGUAGGAAAUAUUUAUUAAGAAAUCAUGCUGGAAAAUUAAAAUAAUUUUUUAGCUAAUAGUUCAGCUAAAUUUUAAGCUAAUUAUAUUUCUGAUGUUCUGCCAGCCCAGGUUUAUGAGGUGUUUUAUAAAAGUCUGCAUCUCAUUGGUAUUCUCUGGUAAAAUAAUGAAGAAAUAGGUGUUAAAACCAUGAAUUGCUCCAAAAGCCAAAUAUGUCUGGGAAAGUGAAGAAUAAACCCAAAACCUCUUGACUUGCA
RNAcentral lists this long non-coding RNA (1107 nucleotides) under Cyanistes caeruleus (blue tit). Its description in RNAcentral is "lncRNA (ENSCCEG00000016711.1)". Lineage: Eukaryota; Metazoa; Chordata; Aves; Passeriformes; Paridae. The record is from RNAcentral.